CCUUCUCCAGUGAAGGCACCACCAACACCACCUUUAGUUAAAUCACCACCUAUUGUGAAAGCACCUUCUCCACCAUUGGUGAAAACACCACCAUAUCAAUCACCACCAGUGAAACCAACACCACCUAUUGUGAAAUCACCUCCUUCUCCACCAUUGGUAAAAUCACCACCUUAUCAAUCACCACCUAUUGUUAAGGCACCUUCUCCCCCUCUAGUGAAACCAACUCCACCUAUUGUGAAAUCACCUCCUUCUCCUCCUUUGGUGAAAACACCACCUUAUCAAUCACCACCUAUAGUGAAGGCACCACCAACUCCUCCAC
This 319-nucleotide long non-coding RNA is filed under the name Medicago truncatula (barrel medic). RNAcentral describes it as "long non-coding RNA (MTRU_LNC003789)". The record is from RNAcentral. Lineage: Eukaryota; Viridiplantae; Streptophyta; Magnoliopsida; Fabales; Fabaceae.